GAUGAACGCUGGCGGCGUGCUUAACACAUGCAAGUCGAGCGAAGCAGUUAAGAAGAUUCUUCGGAUGAUUCUUAACUGACUGAGCGGCGGACGGGUGAGUAACGCGUGGGUGACCUGCCCCAUACCGGGGGAUAACAGCUGGAAACGGCUGCUAAUACCGCAUAAGCGCACAGAGCUGCAUGGCUCGGUGUGAAAAACUCCGGUGGUAUGGGAUGGGCCCGCGUCUGAUUAGGCAGUUGGCGGGGUAACGGCCCACCAAACCGACGAUCAGUAGCCGGCCUGAGAGGGCGACCGGCCACAUUGGGACUGAGACACGGCCCAAACUCCUACGGGAGGCAGCAGUGGGGAAUAUUGCACAAUGGGGGAAACCCUGAUGCAGCGACGCCGCGUGAGCGAAGAAGUAUUUCGGUAUGUAAAGCUCUAUCAGCAGGGAAGAUAA
This 439-nucleotide ribosomal RNA is filed under the name uncultured bacterium. Its description in RNAcentral is "bacterial SSU rRNA". It matches the Rfam family "Bacterial small subunit ribosomal RNA", at positions 28 to 451 of the family's 1533-position model. The record is from RNAcentral.